UGGCUCAGAGGUUAAAGCGUCUGCCUGGAAUGCAGGAGACCAGAGUUCGAUCCCUG
This 56-nucleotide transfer RNA is filed under the name Capra hircus (goat). It matches the Rfam family "tRNA", at positions 8 to 63 of the family's 71-position model. Rfam says of the family: Transfer RNA (tRNA) molecules are approximately 80 nucleotides in length. Their secondary structure includes four short double-helical elements and three loops (D, anti-codon, and T loops). The record is from Rfam by way of RNAcentral. Lineage: Eukaryota; Metazoa; Chordata; Mammalia; Artiodactyla; Bovidae. RNAcentral also lists the same sequence under 1 other name.